AGUAGUGAAGUAAUAUUUACAUUUAGUUUCGACCUAAAAUUUAGAGAAUUAUUCUCCUUACUU
RNAcentral lists this transfer RNA (63 nucleotides) under Lygus pratensis. Its description in RNAcentral is "tRNA-Arg". The record is from RNAcentral. Lineage: Eukaryota; Metazoa; Arthropoda; Insecta; Hemiptera; Miridae.